RNAcentral lists this ribosomal RNA (270 nucleotides) under uncultured bacterium. RNAcentral describes it as "partial 16S ribosomal RNA". It matches the Rfam family "Bacterial small subunit ribosomal RNA", at positions 793 to 1055 of the family's 1533-position model. The record is from RNAcentral.
GUCCACGCUGUAAACGAUGAUCACUGGAUAUGGGCACUGCUUAGCAGAGUCUGUGUCGAAGCUAACGCGUUAAGUGAUCCGCCUGGGGAGUACGGUCGCAAGAUUAAAACUCAAAGAAAUUGACGGGGGUCCGCACAAGCGGUGGAACAUGUGGUUUAAUUCGACACUACGCGAGUAACCUUACCUAGGCUUUACAUGUAACUGCUACCGGCAGAAACGUUGGGUUCUGUAGAAAUACAGACGGUUACACAGGUGCUGCAUGGCUGUCGU